UCCUACGGGAGGCAGCAGUGGGGAAUUUUCCGCAAUGGGCGAAAGCCUGACGGAGCAAUACCGCGUGAGGGAAGACUGCCUAUGGGUUGUAAACCUCUUUUUUCAGGGAGGAAUCAAUGACGUGUACCUGAAGAAUAAGCAUCGGCUAACUCCGUGCCAGCAGCCGUGGUAAGACGGAGGAUGCAAGUGUUAUCCGGAAUCACUGGGCGUAAAGCGUCUGUAGGUGGUUUAAUAAGUCAACUGUUAAAUCUUGAGGCUCAACUUCAAAAUCGCAGUCGAAACUAUUAGACUAGAGUAUAGUAGAGGUAAAGGGAAUUUCCAGUGGAGCGGUGAAAUGCGUAGAUAUUGGAAAGAACACCGAUGGCGAAAGCACUUUACUGGGCUACUACUAACACUCAGAGACGAAAGCUAGGGUAGCAAAUGGGAUUAGAUACCCCAAUAGUCCUAGCCGUAAACAAUGGAUACUAGAUGUUGAACAGAUCGACCUGUGCAGUAUCAAAGCUAACGCGUUAAGUAUCCCGCCUGGGAAGUAUGCUCGCAAGAGUGAAACUCAAAGGAAUUGACGGA
Molecule: ribosomal RNA, 567 nt
Filed under: uncultured bacterium
Lineage: Bacteria
Description: bacterial SSU rRNA
Rfam family: Bacterial small subunit ribosomal RNA
Source: RNAcentral